Molecule: ribosomal RNA, 1239 nt
Filed under: Triticum aestivum (bread wheat)
Lineage: Eukaryota; Viridiplantae; Streptophyta; Magnoliopsida; Poales; Poaceae
Description: partial small subunit ribosomal RNA
Source: RNAcentral
AUGGGGAACUGCGCCAGCGCCAUGGAGGGCCUCAUCCCGUGGGGCUGGGGCGCCAAGCCCGCAGGGAUGUCUGCGUCGAAGAGGACCACGAGCUCCUCCACCACCGCCACAACGGGGAAGCUGUCGACGGUCAGCACCAGCACAUUCAUGGCGUCGACGGUCAGCGGGGGCAGCACCGACGACUGCUACGAGGAGGAGGGGGGCCACAUCCUCGAGUCCCCGAACCUCCGGAUCUUCACCUUCGCCGAGCUCAGGGGCGCCUGCAGGAACUUCAAGCCCGAGACGGUGCUCGGCGAGGGCGGCUUCGGGAAGGUCUACAAGGGGUGGAUCGACGUGAACCCCGCCAAGGGCAGCACCGCCAUGGUCGUCGCCGUCAAGAAGCUCAACCCCGAGAGCGUGCAGGGGAUGGAGCAAUGGCAGUCUGAAGUGAAUUUCCUCGGGAGGAUUUCGCACCCCAACCUCGUCAAACUGUUGGGCUACUGCAUGGAGGACAACGAGCUACUACUCGUGUACGAGUUCAUGGCCAAGGGGAGCUUGGAGAACCACCUCUUCAGAAGAGGGGCCAUCUAUGAGCCACUGCCUUGGAGCCUCAGGCUGAAGAUUCUCAUCGGUGCAGCCCGUGGCCUCGCCUUCCUUCAUUCGUCCGAAAGGCAGAUUAUCUACCGGGACUUCAAAGCUUCCAACAUCCUAUUAGAUUCACACUUCAACGCGAAGCUCUCAGAUUUUGGAUUGGCCAAGCAUGGCCCAGAUGAUGGGGAGUCUCAUGUGACAACACGAGUCAUGGGCACGUAUGGGUAUGCCGCUCCGGAGUAUGUUUCUACCGGCCACCUGUAUGUGAAGAGUGACGUGUACGGCUUCGGCGUCGUGCUGCUCGAGAUGCUCUGUGGCCUGAGGGCGCUGGACCCGAGCCGCCCCAGCGAGAAGCUCAACCUGGUGAACUGGGCGAAGCCGCUCCUGUCGGACCGGAGGAGGCUGACCCAGCUGAUGGACAGCCGGCUCGAGGGGCAGUACCAUGCCAGGGGAGCCUUCCGCGCCGCUCAGCUCACCCUCAAGUGCCUGGCCGGUGAGCCCAAGAGCCGGCCGUCCAUGAAGGAGGUCGUCGAGGCGCUCGAGCAGAUCGAGGCGAUGAAGAGCAAGUCCAAGUCGAGGGAGGCCAGGCGAGACAGCCCGUCGAUGCCGCGUGGCCGGGGGAACUCGCCGAGGAGCGACGGCGCUAGGACCAACUCUAGGGGCAGAUGA